This 304-nucleotide ribosomal RNA is filed under the name uncultured bacterium. RNAcentral's name for it is "bacterial SSU rRNA". It matches the Rfam family "Bacterial small subunit ribosomal RNA", at positions 28 to 334 of the family's 1533-position model. The record is from RNAcentral.
GAUGAACGCUGGCGGCGUGCCUAAUACAUGCAAGUCGAACGCGAGCAGCAAUGCUCGAGUGGCGAACGGGUGAGUAAUACAUAAGUAACCUGCCCUAGACAGGGGGAUAACAGCUGGAAACGGCUGCUAAGACCGCAUAGGCGCGGACGGGACAUCCCGUCCACGUUAAACGUCCUUUCGGGGACGGCUGAAGGAUGGGCCUGUGGCGCAUUAGCUUGUUGGCGGGGCAACGGCCCACCAAGGCGACGAUGCGUAGCCGGCCUGAGAGGGCGGACGGCCACACUGGGACUGAGACACGGCCCAG